GAUGAACGCUGGCGGCGUGCCUAAUACAUGCAAGUCGAGCGAACAGAUGAGGAGCUUGCUCCUCUGACGUUAGCGGCGGACGGGUGAGUAACACGUGGAUAACCUACCUAUAAGACUGGGAUAACUUCGGUAAACCGGAGCUAAUACCGGAUAAUAUAUUGAACCGCAUGGUUCAAUAGUGAAAGACGGUUUUGCUGUCACUUAUAGAUGGAUCCGCGCCGCAUUAGCUAGUUGGUAAGGUAAAGGCUUACCAAGGCAACGAUGCGUAGCCGACCUGAGAGGGUGAUCGGCCACCCGGGAACUGAGCCACGGUCCAGACUCCUACGGGAGGCAGCAGUAGGGAAUCUUCCGCAAUGGGCGAAAGCCUGACGGAGCAACGCCGCGUGAGUGAUGAAGGUCUUCGGAUCGUAAAACUCUGUUAUUAGGGAAGAACAAAUGUGUAAGUAACUAUGCACGUCUUGACGGUACCUAAUCAGAAAGCCACGGCUAACUACGUG
RNAcentral lists this ribosomal RNA (497 nucleotides) under uncultured bacterium. Its description in RNAcentral is "partial 16S ribosomal RNA". It matches the Rfam family "Bacterial small subunit ribosomal RNA", at positions 28 to 507 of the family's 1533-position model. The record is from RNAcentral.